Molecule: long non-coding RNA, 277 nt
Filed under: Lathyrus oleraceus (garden pea)
Lineage: Eukaryota; Viridiplantae; Streptophyta; Magnoliopsida; Fabales; Fabaceae
Description: Pisum sativum (pea) long non-coding RNA (PSAT_LNC018346)
Source: RNAcentral
UGUAACUCCAAGUGUGUUUUCCUCUACUGAAACUUCAGUAUUUAUAAACUGAUUUUCGUGGGUAGUGGGCUCAAAUGAGGGAGACCCAAGUCCAAAAUAAUUUGUUAUAUUUUAUUUAUUUAUUUAUUUUAUUUAUUUAAUUAAUUAAUUAAUUAAUUUUUUUUUCGUUUUUUUUUUUUCGUUUUUUUUUUCCAGGAAAAAUGAAGGGUAAAUUUUGGGGUAUUACAUUAUUUACUAAAAAUAAGGGUCAAAAGAAAAUGACUCGCACGGAUGUCGC